GAUGAACGCUGGCGGCGUGCCUAAUACAUGCAAGUCGAGCGAACAGACGAGGAGCUUGCUCCUUCGACGUUAGCGGCGGACGGGUGAGUAACACGUAGGUAACCUACCUAUAAGACUGGGAUAACUUCGGGAAACCGGAGCUAAUACCGGAUAAUAUUUCGAACCGCAUGGUUCGAUAGUGAAAGAUGGCUUUGCUAUCACUUAUAGAUGGACCUGCGCCGUAUUAGCUAGUUGGUAAGGUAACGGCUUACCAAGGCAACGAUACGUAGCCGACCUGAGAGGGUGAUCGGCCACACUGGAACUGAGACACGGUCCAGACUCCUACGGGAGGCAGCAGUAGGGAAUCUUCCGCAAUGGGCGAAAGCCUGACGGAGCAACGCCGCGUGAGUGAUGAAGGUCUUCGGAUCGUAAAACGCUGUUAUUAGGGAAGAACAAACGUGUAAGUAACUGUGCACGUCUUGACGGUACCUAAUCAGAAAGCCACGGCUAACUACGU
RNAcentral lists this ribosomal RNA (496 nucleotides) under uncultured bacterium. RNAcentral describes it as "partial 16S ribosomal RNA". It matches the Rfam family "Bacterial small subunit ribosomal RNA", at positions 28 to 506 of the family's 1533-position model. The record is from RNAcentral.